Molecule: ribosomal RNA, 254 nt
Filed under: uncultured bacterium
Lineage: Bacteria
Description: partial 16S ribosomal RNA
Rfam family: Bacterial small subunit ribosomal RNA
Source: RNAcentral
UACGAAGGGGGCUAGCGUUGCUCGGAAUCACUGGGCGUAAAGGGUGCGUAGGCGGGUUCUUUAAGUCAGGGGUGAAAUCCUGGAGCUCAACUCCAGAACUGCCUUUGAUACUGAGGAUCUUGAGUUCGGGAGAGGUGAGUGGAACUGCGAGUGUAGAGGUGAAAUUCGUAGAUAUUCGCAAGAACACCAGUGGCGAAGGCGGCUCACUGGCCCGAUACUGACGCUGAGGCACGAAAGCGUGGGGAGCAAACAGG